Molecule: long non-coding RNA, 813 nt
Organism: Medicago truncatula (barrel medic)
Lineage: Eukaryota; Viridiplantae; Streptophyta; Magnoliopsida; Fabales; Fabaceae
Exons: 2
Source: RefSeq, a predicted model, not a curated record
UAAUUUAAGCUAAUAAAAUAAUAAAUGUUUUGUUAUAUAUAAAGGGAUAACUUUUUAUGUUUAUAUCAUGCAAAGGAGGAAAAAUAUGGCUCAAAUUCUCUUUUAUGUUUAUGCUUUGAUCAUUCUUUUUUCUCCAUUUCUUGCUGCACUAGUGAUAAUAGAUCACCAUAAACCAUGUGUUUCUGACACCGAUUGUGCAUUUUAUUUAGAUAUACCACCUACUGUUAAGUAUUGCAGUGAUGGCUUAUGUGCGUGGUAUUUCCCUGAUAACCCCUUGCCCUAAGCCUAUAUAUAUAUAUAUAUAUAUAUAUGUGUGUGUGUGUGUGUGUGUCUUGUAGCCACAACCACCCAUACCCCUAUAAGUACUUAACUUCAUCUAUCACCAAAGGUAGUUGGUUUAGCUGUGAUUUUGAUCCGAAAUCACCCAUUUUAAUCAUUUUGUUCUUUCUUUUUUAUUUAAACAUGUGAUCUUCCAAUAUAUUUAGUUAUUUUUCGUGAUUUCUUUAUCUUAGAGUGAUGUUCGUCUUCUUGGUGUGAUUUUAUUUUGUUUUCUCGUCGUCUUGUUGUGGUGUUAGUUUCCUUCAGAUUGUUAGAUCAACUUCGAUCAAGUGUAGAUCCAAUCAAUGUCUAUUCUUGAGAUAUGGCUUCAGAUGAGCUUCGAUCAAGUACAUCUUCAUUACAAAUGCAGAGAUAUGGCUAUUCCAGACAAUUGAAUAUAGUCAUAUUUGUAGGCUUAUGUAUUUUACCAUUUUAUGUUAUGAACAUGAAUGUUAUGAGUUUAUUCGGAAAUUCAUCAUUUUAAUUUUUAACGAA